Molecule: ribosomal RNA, 425 nt
Filed under: uncultured bacterium
Lineage: Bacteria
Description: bacterial SSU rRNA
Rfam family: Bacterial small subunit ribosomal RNA
Source: RNAcentral
GAAUUUUGGACAAUGGGGGCAACCCUGAUCCAGCCAUGCCGCGUGCGGGAAGAAGGCCUUCGGGUUGUAAACCGCUUUUGUCAGGGAAGAAACGCUCUGGGCUAAUACCCCGGGGUAAUGACGCUACCUGAAGCAUAAGCACCGGCUAACUACGUGCCCGCAGCCGCGGUAAUACGUAGGGUGCAAGCGUUAAUCGGAAUUACUGGGCGUAAAGCGUGCGCAGGCGGUUGUGCAAGACAGAUGUGAAAUCCCCGGGCUUAACCUGGGAACUGCAUUUGUGACUGUACGGCUGGAGUGCGGCAGAGGGGGAUGGAAUUCCGCGUGUAGCAGUGAAAUGCGUAGAUAUGCGGAGGAACACCGAUGGCGAAGGCAAUCCCCUGGGCCUGCACUGACGCUCAUGCACGAAAGCGUGGGGAGCAAACAGG